CUAGUCAAGAUCAUGUUGAUGAACCAUC
This 28-nucleotide small RNA is filed under the name Bombyx mori (domestic silkworm). RNAcentral's name for it is "ovarian small RNA-14638". Lineage: Eukaryota; Metazoa; Arthropoda; Insecta; Lepidoptera; Bombycidae. The record is from RNAcentral.